AAAUUGAAGAGUUUGAUCAUGGCUCAGAUUGAACGCUGGCGGCAGGCCUAACACAUGCAAGUCGAACGGUAACAGAAAGCAGCUUGCUGCUUUGCUGACGAGUGGCGGACGGGUGAGUAAUGUCUGGGAAACUGCCUGAUGGAGGGGGAUAACUACUGGAAACGGUAGCUAAUACCGCAUAAUGUCGCAAGACCAAAGAGGGGGACCUU
Molecule: ribosomal RNA, 209 nt
Filed under: Escherichia coli
Lineage: Bacteria; Pseudomonadati; Pseudomonadota; Gammaproteobacteria; Enterobacterales; Enterobacteriaceae
Description: partial 16S ribosomal RNA
Rfam family: Bacterial small subunit ribosomal RNA
Source: RNAcentral